RNAcentral lists this signal recognition particle RNA (148 nucleotides) under Homo sapiens (human). Its description in RNAcentral is "Metazoan signal recognition particle RNA". It matches the Rfam family "Metazoan signal recognition particle RNA". Rfam says of the family: The signal recognition particle (SRP) is a universally conserved ribonucleoprotein. It is involved in the co-translational targeting of proteins to membranes. The eukaryotic SRP consists of a 300-nucleotide 7S RNA and six proteins: SRPs 72, 68, 54, 19, 14, and 9. The record is from Rfam by way of RNAcentral. Lineage: Eukaryota; Metazoa; Chordata; Mammalia; Primates; Hominidae.
GCUGGGCGUGGUGGCGCACGCCUGUAAUCCCAGCUACUCAGGAGGCUGAGGCAGGAGAAUUGCUUGAACCUGGGAGGCGGAGGUUGCAGUGAGCCGAGGUUGUGCCACUGCACUCCAGCCUGGGUGACAGAGCAAGACUCUGUCUCAA